UACGGAGGAUGCGAGCGUUAUCCGGAUUUAUUGGGUUUAAAGGGUGCGUAGGCGGACUGUUAAGUCAGCGGUAAAAGCCCGGGGCUCAACCCCGGCGAGCCGUUGAAACUGGCUGUCUUGAGAUGUCGAGAGGUAUGCGGAAUGCGCAGUGUAGCGGUGAAAUGCUUAGAUAUUGCGCAGAACUCCGAUUGCGAAGGCAGCAUACCGGCGGCGAUCUGUCGCUGAGGCACGAAAGCGUGGGUAUCGAACAGG
This 252-nucleotide ribosomal RNA is filed under the name uncultured bacterium. RNAcentral describes it as "partial 16S ribosomal RNA". It matches the Rfam family "Bacterial small subunit ribosomal RNA", at positions 524 to 776 of the family's 1533-position model. The record is from RNAcentral.